RNAcentral lists this transfer RNA (64 nucleotides) under Varanus giganteus (perentie). Its description in RNAcentral is "tRNA-Tyr". It matches the Rfam family "tRNA". From Rfam's summary of the family: Transfer RNA (tRNA) molecules are approximately 80 nucleotides in length. Lineage: Eukaryota; Metazoa; Chordata; Lepidosauria; Squamata; Varanidae. The record is from RNAcentral.
GGUAAGGUGGCUGAGUUAAGCGGUAGAUUGUAAAUCUACCUACGAGAGAAUUUCUCCCUUUCCA